AUUGAACGCUGGCGGCAGGCCUAACACAUGCAAGUCGAGCGGAUGAAGGGAGAUUGCUCCUGGAUACAGCGGCGGACGGGCGAGUAAUGCCUAGGAAUCUGCCUGGCAGUGGGGGAUAACGUCCGGAAACGGGCGCUAAUACCGCAUACGUCCUGAGGGAGAAAGUGGGGGAUCUUCGGACCUCACGCUAUCAGAUGAGCCUAGGUCGGAUUAGCUAGUUGGUGGGGUAAAGGCCUACCAAGGCGACGAUCCGUAACUGGUCUGAGAGGAUGAUCAGUCACACUGGAACUGAGACACGGUCCAGACUCCUACGGGAGGCAGCAGUAGGGAAUAUUGGACAAUGGGCGAAAGCCUGAUCCAGCCAUGCCGCGUGAGUGAAGAAGGUCUUCGGAUUGUAAAACACUUUAAUUUGGGAGGAAGGGCAGUGAAUUAAUACCUUGCUGUUUUGACGUUACCAACAGAGUAAGCACCGGCCAACUUCGUG
This 484-nucleotide ribosomal RNA is filed under the name uncultured bacterium. Its description in RNAcentral is "partial 16S ribosomal RNA". It matches the Rfam family "Bacterial small subunit ribosomal RNA", at positions 30 to 507 of the family's 1533-position model. The record is from RNAcentral.